Microplitis demolitor is the source of this 743-nucleotide long non-coding RNA. RefSeq lists it as uncharacterized. Lineage: Eukaryota; Metazoa; Arthropoda; Insecta; Hymenoptera; Braconidae. The record is from RefSeq and is a predicted model, not a curated record. The transcript is spliced from 4 exons.
AAUUAUGAAACUUCAGAAGAUAAUACUAUGUCUACUAUGAGUGGUCCAAGUAAAUUAAAAGAUAAUGAUAUUUAUAUGACCCCUAAUUAAUCAUUGAAUUCUUCAUUUAAAUCAUCAGAUGAUGAAGUAAAAAUUUUAUUAUCAACUUCUGAAAGCUUACGAAAAAGUAAGAAAGGAGAUACUUUAAUUGAAGUAAUUGGUUAUGUAGACCAAAUUUAUCCCCCAAAAAAUGUAAGUGGGAACAAGCGCGUAUUUAAAUUUAUAAUUAAUAAUAAUGAUGGUAUAAGAAUUCAAGUAAAUGUAUGGAAUAAAGAAGUAGCUAGAGUUGAACCAAUGAUAAUUUUAAAUAAAAUUAUUCAUAUUGAUGGAUGUCGAGCUAAAGAAGCAAAUGAAUAUACUAUAUCAAAAUUUAAAGAGUAUGAAAUUGUGAUAGAGAGUAAUACAAUUGUAAAUGAUUUUGGAGAUUUUAUGAUAGAAGAUCAAUUUGAUUUUACGCAGUUGAAAUUAAUUGAAAUAAGUGAAAUUUCCAAGUACUAUAAAAAAAAAAUAAAAUAACCAAAAUUUUUUAAAGUUCAUGGUUAUCUUAAAACUGUUUUUUUUUGCUGAAGACAAUUAUAAUUACAAUUAUCAAGCGUGUGAGACAGUUACUGACGGUCAAUUUCAAUUAAAUGUUUUAAUUCACACUUUUCAUCAACACUAAUAUAAAAAAGGUGAUCAUAUUGAAUUGUCUGGAUCAUUUAUUG